UCCACGCCCCGCCGAGCCGAGCCGAGGGAGGCCGGCCUGAGCAACCCGCGGGCGGCGGGGAGGCGGCCCCAGCCCCAUCCCCGGCCCCAUGGAGUGCUACUACAUUGUCAUCAGCUCCGCGCAUCUCAGCAACGGGCACUUUCGGAACAUCAAGGGAGUUUUCCGAGGCCCCCUCAGCAAGAACGGGAACAAAACUCUGGGUCAAAUCCUUGGCCAUGUACAUGGAGCAUCAAGAGACACAGAAAUCAGAGGAUUAUGCUGAAAAGAAAAACACGAUAGCAAAAGCUCUGGAAGAUCUUAAAGCGAACUUCUACUGUGAACUCUGUGACAAGCAGUACUAUAAACACCAGGAGUUUGACAAUCACAUUAACUCUUAUGAUCAUGCUCACAAACAGAGACUGAAGGAGCUGAAACAGAGGGAGUUUGCUCGAAACGUAGCAUCUAAGUCACGGAAAGAUGAAAGGAAACAGGAGAAAGCCCUUCAACGUUUGCAUAAGCUAGCUGAGCUAAGGAAAGAGAGAACGUGUGCUCCUGGAAGCGGCCCUAUGUUCAAAUCUACUACAGUGACUGUGCGAGAUCAUUGCAGUGAUAUCCCCCAAAGUGCUGCCAUAGAUUCUUCCAACAAUCAGGAUUUAAUGCAUGAUGCACAGAAUGGUGAAGAUGUUGCUUCUGUUACUUCUUCCACUCCUGGAAAUGCAUGUAGUAAUAAAUCCGACACUGGCAAAUGCGGGGAUCAGGUUCAAGGAGCUCAAGGACAUAGAGUUGGUUUCUCUUUUGCUUUUCCCAAGAAAGCAGUGGUCAAACUGGAGUCUUCAGCUGCUGUUUUCUAUGAAUAUAACGACGAGACAUCUAUAGAGCAUGGAUUUAGCAGAAGAAGUAGGUUUGUUCCAGGAGCAUGUAACAUUCAGUCUCCUUCAGUGGCAGAAAUAGUCCUGUGCCCUGAGGAGAAGCAUAACUGUUUUCACCCACUGGUGGAAAAAUGCAUAGGCACGGCAGAAGCUCCUAAAGCUCAGGAGUCAGAAAAGCUGGCUGGUGAAGAAAGCAGCGUGCUGGAGUCUCCUGUCUUAACUCCUGCUGCAUCCCAUUCAAAGCAGCUGGUGCCCUUGGACAUGGGUGGCUAUGGCAUUGAUGUGAGUGCAGCAGAUGUAGCAGACCAGACGCUGCCCAUGGCUGUGGACAGUGCUCAGGUCCUGCCCCUGGACUGCAGCGGGUGUGAGCCACAGGCAAACAGGGCUCUGGCACAGGUGGUUGUGGAGGACUGUUUAUCUCUGCAGGAUGUUGCUGAGGAAGAUGAUACAGACAGGGACAAUGAGCCACCCAUGACUGAAACUGAAAUAAAAAGGCUGGGGGCAGAUGCAUCAGUUCCAUCAGCGUCUGAAGAAGGUAGUGGUGGACCCCUACAAAGCAAACCGGACAUGAGCAAGAGACCUUGUGAACCCUUUGUUCCCGUUCUUAGCAAACACGGAUCAAAUAUUCUUCAGUGGCCAUCAGAAAUGUUAAUUUACACAAGUACAGACCCAUCAAUUUCUUAUAGCUGCAAUCCUUUAUAUUUUGAUUUCAAGUCAUCAAGAGCAACUGACAGCCAAGAAAAGCCCAAGCGUCAGCCAGACAUACCUCAUUUGCACCAUAAAAGUGAAUACAACCAUAGCUUAGUCUUGGAUUUUACAAAUAAACCUACUUCAGAGUGUGGUGAUUAUGAAACAGAAAUGAAUAAAGAUGUGUGUGACUAUACAAUACCCCUUGUAAGUGAUGAUUCCCUCGUCAGAAAUUGUGAUCUUGCAAAAAAUCAAAAUAAAGUGUCCUUGGAUGAAUCAUUCAGGAUUAGAAAAAUAGAAAAGUAUCACAUUUCUAAAAAUCACUUACAACAAAACACUGUGAUAGAUGAGAAAUGUAACAAAGUCUGGAUCAAAGAAAGCCAUGAAAAAUGGCUUCACAAAAGUAGAAAAUGGAAAAGGAGAAGAAAAUUAUAUCAUUGUCAUCAUCAUCAGUGUGGGGACACAACAGCAGCAGAAAUGGAGAUGUCCUCAGUGAGUGAAAAAGAAAUCAGGUACCGAGAUGAAAAUAAAUAUCAGCACCUCCAAAAUAAUCCAGAGAAGUGCAGAUAUGAUGUGGGGAAUAUCCGGCUAGCUGCAGGUGAGCUACAGCAGUCACAUCAAAAACUUGGCAUUGAAAAUGGUCAUAAGAGAGUCAUGUCUGAAUCACAUCAUGUACAUGGGGACAGAGGCUGUUGUGAUGUUUGGGAUGCAACCAGUGGCCAGCACCAUGGUUGUCAGCGAUGGCACAGAAGGAGCAAAGCAAGUUCUCGGGCACAGGCAGAGCAGCUGGCUCUGAGUUCCAGGAGGCACAGCCUCAGGUAUGCUAAAACAUGUUGUAGCUGGAAAGUCAGGAGGUCAAGCUGUAGCCCAGAGCAUAAAUGUUUCGGACACUGCAGUAUGGGCAAGAGUCUGAGUCAAAACCAGUCUGUAAAGAGAGGUUACAGUGUUCUGACAGAAGAAACUGAGAAAUCUCACCGCAAGCGGAGACAGCAUGUCUGUUCCUCUUCAUCAGAAGAAAGCUCAUAUGGACAAACAUUAUCAGCAGAGGAAUAUCUAAGGCAAGCACGAACUAUAGGUACGCAUCACAAGGCAAAAGGGAAACGGAGGAAAAGAAAAACCAGAAUCCAUCACGUAUUCCUUGACAGGAAUGCAAGGAGUGAGAACUCCAGACCUUCCAAAGAAAGUUCUGCAAAUUCUACCUUAAAUGUUUUGGGGGACCUCUUGACUCAAGACGGUUUAGAGGAAGUUAAUGUGGAUCCCAAAGCUGAUCAUGCAAAGGACGUGGAUGAAACGAUGCAACUGGAGGAAAGCAAGUCAUCUCUAGACCCUGAUGGUUCACACGUGAUAGAACACAACGAACCAAGGGUGUGCACAGCGAUGGAGAACACACUGGGUGUAUUUUCUGAUGUUGUCACUGUGCCUGUUCCUGAGCACAGCGCUCCAGCAGCUGCCAGCACACAGGGUGUUCUGGAAGAGGAAAAGAAGAAAGAAAAGGUCAACAGUCAUGAAAAUCAGGCUUAUUACAAACCUCCCCUCCCCAACAGACAUUUGGAACAAGCUCCUCCUAAAUCCUAUCUUUGCCAUUAUGAAUUGUCCAAGUCCCUACCACAUGAGAAAAUAAAUGAGGUGACUGGUGAAUGGGUACAGUGUAAUCCUGGUAUAUUUAGCAGCCCACCACCCUUGCCAUUCAAGGAAGCACAUGUGAACAGUCACACUUUUUUAACUACUGAGCAGUUACUAGCCCCUUUUACCCUGCCUGAUCAGACAUUGAUAUUCCCUCCAGAUAAAUUCAAAGAUCUCCCAUCCGAGGCCUAUCAGCAGAUCAUGCCACAAAACAUGCUGGCCAGCAAAGUGAAGUUCGCCUUCCCUCCCACAGCAAUCCAGCCCCCAAAUUCCCCGCUGCAGCCUGUACCCCUGCAGCCGCCGCUGUGCUCUACCUCCGUCACCACCAUCCACCACACUGUCCUACAGCAGCAUGCCGCUGCUGCACUGAAGGUUCUCCAGCCCCACCAGCAGUUCCUCUCACAGGUCCCAGCUCUUACCCGGGCGCCUUUACCUCAUGUGCCAGGAGGACCAAGGCUUUGCCCCGGGGCUCACACAGCUUUUGUCACCACGCCGCACUUGCCACUGCUGCCACCGUCGGUCCUGCCACCAAGUCCACCGGCAUUCCCACCGCUGCCGCACGCUGUCUUCCCAUCCCUGCUGUCCCCACACCCUGCUGUCAUCCCCCUGCAGCCCCUCUUUUAGGAUGGGUUCUUGGGGCUGGGGGAAGGAGCCCUCAGCUAAGUGGUCCUGCUGCUUCUACCACCCCCCUUGGCUUUGCAGAACGGUUCUGUGAAAUGAACUGGUUAAAAUUCCUCGUUCCUUGGGAAGCAUUUACUGUAAGUACAAUGAUGCAAACAUUCGUGUUGAGUUCAGACCUAUACUAUAACAAAAGCACUGAAUAGUCUGAUGCUAAUAUGAACUCUAUAUAUAGGUGAAAAUCAUGUCUUAGAAUAUGUACAAUGUAUAUAAAAUAUAUUUAUAGUUCUAUAACUUAUGUUGUAAAGUAUUCACUUUUUCGUUUUUAUCUUUGUGUAUUUGCACCUAUUUAAUGUUUAGACAAAGCCGAUGCACUAUGUUUUGUACUAUGUUCUCUGAAACUGUAAAUCUAGUGACAAACUAUCUCUUGCAAUAAAUUUUUGUUAACUACUUAAGUAUUUAAAAAAAUCUUUCAUUAGAAGACUCAUGGAUGUUGUUCUUCCAUGUUUUUCUGCAGCUGAAUAGCAUCCUCUGCCCCUGCUCUGUUUGGAUAAUCAGGUUUCCUAUAUGUCGGUGAUUUAUCAGGAGGCUCAGAGGCUAAUACCUUGAGGUAUUGUCUCACUGAGCAAAAGAGGAAGGUUAAUAGAUGUGUUUGUGUUAGCAGCUUGAUGUCACCAUGACAGAAUGUGCCUACUUAUAGUAUGUGCACAAACUGCUCACCGUUGGAGCUAAUCCCUUUUAUACUAAACCACAAAAUGAUGAUGUAACAAAAAUGACAUCAGUGAUGGGCCUGGGGGGAAUAUCAAUGGCAGUUCAACUUCAAGGGAAUAUUGCUAACACUGGAGUGGUAGAGCACAGGAAAGGUCUUGGUUCCACCAAGCAGUCGUGCUCUGACUGCACACAGCCCUCGGUGGGGCAGAUCUGUUGGGGUGAGGUCCUUGCUGCCUGUGCAGUGUGUGACGAUAGCAAGGACGCAUGAGCAUGAAGGGGGUGUCAGGAAGAGACUCACAUGGGGAACCCACCAGGGUUUGAGACAGAUUCUCACCUCACUUUAACCCUCUCUUUCCUGAAGCAGUUUGCUAAAGUAGAAUAACAGAGAAUAGAGAUCAACUAAAAUAAUAAUACAUUGCCAUUACUUCUAAUUCUAUUUCAGAGACUUCUCCCUACCUCUGCAAUCUUUUUAUUGCUGUUGAACCUCACCCAGCUUUAGCCAGUGAAAUCUCCACAUUUGCUUUAGUUUGGGAUGUGUCAGGCCCACACCUGUGAUGGGCUAGAACAAAACCAGAAGACAUUCUGAGACAGAGCUUUCUCUCUGAGUUAAAAUGAAGUGUUACCAUGUGAAUGAAGCUAAGGAUUUGCAGCAUGACCCUUAGUGCUAGAAGUAGGCCCUCUGUAAUGGAAGUUACAAAGGGCUAAAGUAUGCCAAUAAGCAAAAAGCUGAUAAGAAAGAGCAGUUGAGAGAUCAGGGUCUGGAGAGUGACUUGGAUCCCCUGGCUGAGGCUGUGGCAUGGAGUAGGAUGUUGCUGUCCCUGUAAUGCCAUAAAGAAGGUAUAUUUUCUCUAUUUGUAAUUUCAGGUGAAUACCUAUUUCUAUUUAUCUGGUACCUGAAAAACGUAGCAUGUAAGUGACUUUAUACACCUUUAUUUUGCAAGUAUGCCUACAUAAUCUAUAUGUGUCCACUACUGCCUGUGAUAUGCAGGUGUCAAGCAGGCGCUAAACACAGGAACAUCUGAAGUGGGAAGGUUCAUGCCAGCUGCCUUAGCUGACUUCUGCAUGUCUGUUCUCCUGUGUAGUAGCCAGCACAGACUGUCCUUUGGGUUCUGAUGUCUCAACAAAGACAAAAUCCAUCUAAUUAUAUGCGUACACUUGAAAAAAAGAAGCCAUGUAGGAAAAUCAUGAUUGCACAUUAUCAUGCAUUUUUAUCUGGCAGGAGAUAAAAAAUCUCCUGCAGGAGAUGCAUUUUUAUCUGGCAGGAGAUGAAAAAUCACCAAUUUCAAAUUUUCAGUUGCAACAUUCAUUGAAAAAUCUCAUCUUUUAACUUCAGAAGUCUGCAUUUUUUAACAAAAUGUUCCAACAGCUUUGAAUUUUACUUUUUUUCCUUACAAUUUAAAAAAUUCUUUUCUAUUUUAAGUUGUUAAACACUUUGAAGACAUUGCAAAAUUAUUUAUUAUCUACUGUAACUGCUUUAAGUGUAUAAACUACUUAAAAACCUAAUAACCAAGUGUACUAAUUUUCUCAUAUGCUGUUGCCUCGAGCACUAGAGCUGUUUGUGUAUGCGACUUCAUUUGUAAAAGCAAAACCAAUAUAAAAAUAAAUCACAAGUUAAAUUUAAA
This is an RNA transcript of Strigops habroptila (Kakapo), 6109 nucleotides long. It is a transcript of the gene named zinc finger protein 804A, with no coding region annotated. The record is from RefSeq and is a predicted model, not a curated record. NCBI's taxonomy places the organism in Eukaryota, Metazoa, Chordata, Aves, Psittaciformes, Psittacidae. The transcript is spliced from 6 exons.